AUGCUUCCCGCGUGGGCUCAGGAGCGCCUCUUUCCCACCCAGGUGACUGGCAGCGGCCCGAUGCGCCCGUCUACUUCCUGCUCGGCCUUGGCCUCCUCCUGCUCCUGCUGGCGCUGGCCUUCGCCCUCCUCAAGAGGUACGUUGCCUCCUCCCGCUCUCAUGGCGGCUCUGCAAAGGGGCCGAGCCCUGCAGGGCCCCGGGAGGGCUGCGGGGGUCGGGGCAGCCGUGCUGGCGCCCCUCGCGAGCGGCAGGACCAACCGCCUUUCCUCGGCCGCAGGGCGCGGAGCAGCUGCGAGGCCAGCAUCCCCACGCCGGCCGCCUUCUUCCAGCCUCUCUACCUCGCUCACCGCGGGGACUUCAAGGUUGAAUCUCUCCUUGUUCAGCUUCCAUCCAUUAUUCCUCGUCUGACGUUCAGGUGCCUUGGAAAAUAGCUUGACCCCUUCCUCCUCUCUGUGGCAGCCCCUCAAAUAUUGGAAGAUGCUCUCCUGUCUCCCCUGGUCCUUCUCUUCCCUAGACCAGCCAGGCCCAGUUCCUGCAACCGUUCAUCCUAUGUUUCAGCCUCCAGUCCCCUCAUCAUCCUGGUUGCUCUUCUCUGCACUCUUUCGAGAGUCUCAACAUCUUUUUUAUAAUGUGGUUAGUAAUCAUGUUCUAAUGGUACAGUUGAGUAUAUAUUUAUAAGAAUACUCUUUGUUCAGUGUCUUUGCUUUCUCUUCUCCUUUUGCACGUAAUAAAGUCAUGGGGACAGGGACAUGGUGAUUGAAAGAACUUUCU
This 771-nucleotide long non-coding RNA is filed under the name Laticauda laticaudata (blue-ringed sea krait). RNAcentral's name for it is "lncRNA (ENSLLTG00000017960.1)". The record is from RNAcentral. Lineage: Eukaryota; Metazoa; Chordata; Lepidosauria; Squamata; Elapidae.